UGUACAGUAUGGUUUGUCGCUGCCAAGCUAUAUGCCACCUGAGUUUCAGACUACUCUUAACUUUGGAUCACCUUCCUGAUACUUGGGUGUGCUUAUCCAGGAUAUCUCGAAAUUAUCUUUCUCAGUGAAUAAUCUUCAAGUUUCUGGUAACACAAGAUCUUCUAUCACUUAUUUUAUCAUUUAGUAUCCUCAACGCUGUUCCAAUGUUAGUCAGAGAAAACGUUAGACGUAAACUUCAGAAAUCAUUAUCUCGUGAAAAUAAAGUAAUGUUUUAUUUUCUGUUUUGCAAUUUGGAUUGGUUUGCUAUAUACUUCUCUAUGUAUAUUUGUAGAGGAGUCCAACUUAUAGUUGUAUUUAUUUUUAACUUCAGCACAGAACCUGAUGCAAAACUGUAUACAUGUUCUGAAUAUUUGUUGUCUGUCUCUUAUUCCAGUCUUCUGCGUCAGCUUUCCUUCUUGAGUUAUGCUCAUGCUAUGAUUUCUCAACUACAGCUUAGUUGCAGGCUGAAGGGGGCAGCGCGGAAGGCGGAAACAUGUGUUUAAAGACUGAUGUAGUCACUUCCUCCGAUGACCUGUAUUGAUAUGUAGCUGCCGUGGUAGCACAGUGACAUGAUAUGAGCACAAGUUACUCCAAAGGUGCGACCUCCAAGAGGAGAGUACUUAGUUGUAGUGGCACAAUGUGAUCUGUUUUCUUUUGCACAUAAAUGUCUGAUAUUUUUAUAAUAUAGGGUGUGCCAAAGAUGUACAUGCAUUUUUGGAUUCAAGCACAUUAUGAGUUUAUAUAAGCUAAGAUUACAUGUA
Long non-coding RNA from Lolium rigidum, 800 nucleotides. RefSeq lists it as uncharacterized. The transcript has 2 exons. The record is from RefSeq and is a predicted model, not a curated record. Lineage: Eukaryota; Viridiplantae; Streptophyta; Magnoliopsida; Poales; Poaceae.